This 75-nucleotide transfer RNA is filed under the name Staphylococcus aureus. RNAcentral describes it as "tRNA-Asn". It matches the Rfam family "tRNA". From Rfam's summary of the family: Transfer RNA (tRNA) molecules are approximately 80 nucleotides in length. Their secondary structure includes four short double-helical elements and three loops (D, anti-codon, and T loops). RNAcentral also lists the same sequence under 3 other names. Lineage: Bacteria; Bacillati; Bacillota; Bacilli; Caryophanales; Staphylococcaceae. The record is from RNAcentral.
UUCACAGUAGCUCAGUGGUAGAGCUAUCGGCUGUUAACCGAUCGGUCGUAGGUUCGAGUCCUACCUGUGGAGCCA